This 484-nucleotide ribosomal RNA is filed under the name uncultured bacterium. Its description in RNAcentral is "partial 16S ribosomal RNA". It matches the Rfam family "Bacterial small subunit ribosomal RNA", at positions 28 to 507 of the family's 1533-position model. The record is from RNAcentral.
AUUGAACGCUGGCGGCAGGCCUAACACAUGCAGGUCGAGCGGAUGAAGGGAGCUUGCGCCUGGAUUCAGCGGCGGACGGGGGAGUAAUGCCUAGGAAUCUGCCUGGUAGUGGGGGAGAACGUCCGGAAACGGGCGCUAAUACCGCAUACGUCCUGAGGGGGAAAGUGGGGGAUCUUCGGACAGCACGCUAUCAGAUGAGCCUAGGUGGGUUUAGCUAGUUGGUGGGGUAAAGGCCUACCAAGGCGACGAUCCGUAACUGGCCUGAGUGGAGGGGCAGUCACCCUGGAGCUGAGCCGCGGUCCAGGGUCCUGCGGGAGGCCGCAGUGGGGAAUGUUGGGCAAUGGGCGAAAGCCUGAUCCAGCCGUGGCGCGUGUGUGAAGAAGGUCUUCGGAUUGUGAAGCCCUUUAAGUUGUGAGGAAGGGCAUUAAGUUAAUACCUUGCUGUUUUGACGUUACCGACAGAAUAAGCACCGGCUAACUUCGUG